Molecule: ribosomal RNA, 404 nt
Filed under: uncultured bacterium
Lineage: Bacteria
Description: bacterial SSU rRNA
Rfam family: Bacterial small subunit ribosomal RNA
Source: RNAcentral
AACGAACGCUGGCGGCGCGCCUAAUACAUGCAAGUCGAGCGAGAAGACGUAGCAAUACGUUUGUAAAGCGGCGAACGGGUGAGGAAUACAUGGGUAACCUACCCUAGAGUGGGGAAUAACUAGCCGAAAGGUUAGCUAAUACCGCGUACGCUCCUUGGACUUCGGUUCAGGGAGGAAAGCGAUACCGAGGGUAUCGCGCUCUUGGAUGGGCUCAUGUCCUAUCAGCUGUUGGGAGGUACGGCUCACCAAGGCUUCGACGGGUAGCUGGUCUGAGAGGACGAUCAGCCACACUUGGGCACUGCGACACGGGGCCAGGACUCCUACGGGAGGCAGCAGUAAGGAAUAUUGCGCAAUGGGCAAAAGCCUGACGCAGCGACGCCGCGUGGGGGAUGAAGGUCUUCGGA